RNAcentral lists this long non-coding RNA (199 nucleotides) under Elaeis guineensis (African oil palm). RNAcentral describes it as "long non-coding RNA (EGUI_LNC061069)". The record is from RNAcentral. Lineage: Eukaryota; Viridiplantae; Streptophyta; Magnoliopsida; Arecales; Arecaceae.
GCUUUGUUUGCAAAAGAAAGGGAAAGAAAAUUUGGUAAAUAAAGAAAGCAAAUCAAAUUACAUUGAAAUCUUGUCAUCUUUUAUAAUGUGAUAUCAAAUUGGAUAUGAAAUACAAAAUUCGAUAAGAAGUAGUUUGGUUGUAUUAAGAGUAAGCAAAGAAUGAAAUCAAGAAAUUCAUCUGGCAUAUAGUAAGGGGGAG